RNAcentral lists this ribosomal RNA (539 nucleotides) under uncultured bacterium. RNAcentral's name for it is "bacterial SSU rRNA". It matches the Rfam family "Bacterial small subunit ribosomal RNA", at positions 356 to 896 of the family's 1533-position model. The record is from RNAcentral.
GAGGAAUAUUGGUCAAUGGGCGCGAGCCUGAACCAGCCAAGUAGCGUGCAGGAUGACGGCCCUAUGGGUUGUAAACUGCUUUUGUAUGGGGAUAAAGUCAAUCACGUGUGAUUGUUUGCAGGUACCAUACGAAUAAGGACCGGCUAAUUCCGUGCCAGCAGCCGCGGUAAUACGGAAGGUCCGGGCGUUAUCCGGAUUUAUUGGGUUUAAAGGGAGCGUAGGCCGUGGAUUAAGCGUGUUGUGAAAUGUAGACGCUCAACGUCUGAAUUGCAGCGCGAACUGGUUCACUUGAGUAUGCACAACGUAGGCGGAAUUCGCCGUGUAGCGGUGAAAUGCUUAGAUAUGACGAAGAACUCCGAUUGCGAAGGCAGCUGACGGGAGCGCAACUGACGCUUAAGCUCGAAGGUGCGGGUAUCGAACAGGAUUAGAUACCCUGGUAGUCCGCACAGUAAACGAUGGAUGCCCGCUGUUGGUACCUGGUAUCAGCGGCUAAGCGAAAGCAUUAAGCAUCCCACCUGGGGAGUACGCCGGCAACGGUG